Molecule: ribosomal RNA, 402 nt
Filed under: Bacteroidota bacterium
Lineage: Bacteria; Pseudomonadati; Bacteroidota
Description: Bacteroidetes bacterium partial 16S ribosomal RNA
Rfam family: Bacterial small subunit ribosomal RNA
Source: RNAcentral
UGGGGAAUUUUGCACAAUGGGGGAAACCCUGAUGCAGCGACGCCGCGUGAUUUAGAAGGCCUUCGGGUUGUAAAAAUCUUUUCUAUGGGAAGAAAAUGACAGUACCAUAGGAAUAAGGACCGGCUAAUUACGUGCCAGCAGCCGCGGUAAUACGUAAGGUCCGAGCGUUGUCCGGAAUCAUUGUGCGUAAAGGGUACGUAGGCGGGUAAGCAAGUUAGAAGUGAAAUCCUGUAGCUCAACUACAGUAAGCUUUUAAAACUGCUCAUCUUGAGAUAUGGAAGGGAAAGUGGAAUUCCUAGUGUAGCGGUGAAAUGCGCAGAUAUUAGGAGGAAUACCGGUGGCGAAGGCGACUUUCUGGCCAUAAUCUGACGCUGAGGUACGAAAGCGUGGGUAGCAAACAGG